This 866-nucleotide long non-coding RNA is filed under the name Homo sapiens (human). RNAcentral's name for it is "HSALNT0109637". Lineage: Eukaryota; Metazoa; Chordata; Mammalia; Primates; Hominidae. The record is from RNAcentral.
ACUGCCACUCAGUGAAUUCCUGGUUAUCUGCAUUGUGGCAAAAUGCUCAUCUGCCCAGGCAUCUAUGGUGUGGGGAAGAGGACUGUGUUGCUAUAGCUACUGAUCCCCCCAUUUUUGGCUUCUUUGACCUUUCCUCCCCUUGGGGGAGGAAAUACUGCUGCAGUAGCCUGUGGAGGCUAUGGGGAGAGCAGAUCCACCUUCGAGUUCAAGAGAAAGACAUUCUCCAGGAAGCCCUCCUCUCCUCACAUUUGGCGACAGUUACAAAGCAGAAUUGUCUCCUCUUUAAGUGGCCGUCGUGAAGCCCAGAGGCAGUGUGGGAUGCUGAAUGAAAUAACAGUUUCCAAAGUACCAUCCGAUCAAGCCUUCCCAUAUUCUCCUGAGAUUCCUUUCACUACUGCUCAAAGACUUGGGGGUCUGGAGUCUUUUGUUUUUGUGUGUUUGGUUAUUUACCAUUAGAUGGUAACAUAGGGAUGGGCCCUGGCUAUAUUUCCACUCCUUGUUCUUGCUCCUGCAUAAAUCAUGGAAAUCCUCACCUUAAAAACUUCUUUUGACCAUAACCUUGACUUCAUUGUGAGGCAUUUAGAAAAAGGCGUGGCCUAUCCAAGUAAAGGGCAGGUACUCAGCUUACCCACCAGCUACAACUUGUCACAAACUGACACAUAACCUGGCUCUCUAUCCAUCUCCAUUGGUUUUUACACUCACUGAGGAAGCAUCAUGGUAUACCAGAAAGUCUAGGCUUUGGAUCAAACAUAUUUGGAUGUCAAUUCCAGCUCCUGGAUCCAAACAUAUUUGGAUUUAAAUUCCUUGAGUAAAUUACCCCCAUCUUCAAAUCUGUUUCCUCAAUUAGAAAGGGCUGUUAGGAAGAG